This 497-nucleotide ribosomal RNA is filed under the name uncultured bacterium. Its description in RNAcentral is "partial 16S ribosomal RNA". It matches the Rfam family "Bacterial small subunit ribosomal RNA", at positions 28 to 507 of the family's 1533-position model. The record is from RNAcentral.
GAUGAACGCUGGCGGCGUGCCUAAUACAUGCAAGUCGAGCGAACAGAUGAGGAGCUUGCUCCUCUGACGUUAGCGGCGGACGGGUGAGUAACACGUGGAUAACCUCCCUAUAAGACUGGGAUAACUUCGGGAAACCGGAGCUAAUACCGGAUAAUAUAUUGAACCGCAUGGUUCAAUAGUGAAAGACGGUUUUGCUGUCACUUAUAGAUGGAUCCGCGCCGCAUUAGCUAGUUGGUAAGGUAACGGGUUACCAAGGCAACGAUGCGUAGCCGACCUGUGAGGGUGAUCGGCGACACUGGAGCUGGGACACGGUCCAGAGUCCUGCGGGAGGCAGCAGUAGGGAAUGUUCCGCAAUGGGCGAAAGCCUGGCGGAGCAACGCCGCGUGAGUGGUGAAGGUCUUCGGAUCGUAAUACUCUGUUAUUAGGGAAGAACAAAUGUGUAAUUAACUAUGCACGUCUUGACGGUACCUAAUCAGAAAGCCACGGCUAACUACGUG